This 492-nucleotide ribosomal RNA is filed under the name uncultured bacterium. Its description in RNAcentral is "partial 16S ribosomal RNA". It matches the Rfam family "Bacterial small subunit ribosomal RNA", at positions 29 to 507 of the family's 1533-position model. The record is from RNAcentral.
AGUGAACGCUGGCGGUAGGCCUAACACAUGCAAGUCGAACGGCAGCACAGUAAGAGCUUGCUCUUACGGGUGGCGAGUGGCGGACGGGUGAGGAAUACAUCGGAAUCUACUUUUUCGUGGGGGAUAACGUAGGGAAACUUACGCUAAUACCGCAUACGACCUACGGGUGAAAGCAGGGGAUCUUCGGACCUUGCGCGAUUGAAUGAGCCGAUGUCGGAUUAGCUAGUUGGCGGGGUAAAGGCCCACCAAGGCGACGAUCCGUAGCUGGUCUGAGAGGAUGAUCGGCCACACUGGAACUUAGACACGGUCCAGGCUCCUACGGGAGGCAGCAGUGGGGAAUAUUGGACAAUGGGCGGAAGCCUGAUCCAGCCAUACCGCGUGGGUGAAGAAGGCCUUCGGGUUGUAAAGCCCUUUUGUUGGGAAAGAAAAGCAGCAGGUUAAUACCCCGCUGUUCUGACGGUACCCAAAGAAUAAGCACCGGCUAACUUCGUG